GAUGAACGCUGGCGGCGUGCCUAAUACAUGCAAGUCGAGCGAACGGACGAGAAGCUUGCUUUUCUGAUGUUAGCGGCGGACGGGUGAGUAACACGUGGAUAACCUACCUAUAAGACUGGGAUAACUUCGGGAAACAGGUGCUAAUAACGGAUAAUAUUUUGAACCGCAGGGUUCAAAAGUGAAAGACGGUCUGGCUGUCACUUAUAGAUGGAUCCGCGCUGCAUUAGCUAGUUGGUAAGGUAACGGCUUACCAAGGCAACGAUGCGUAGCCGACCUGAGAGGAUGAUCAGCCACACUGGAACUGAGACACGGUCCAGACUCCUACGGGAGGCAGCAGUAGGGAAUCUUCCGCAAUGGGCGAAAGCCUGACGGAGCAACGCCGCGUGAGUGAUGAAGGUCUUCGGAUCGUAAAACUCUGUUAUUAGGGAAGAACAUAUGUGUAAGUAACUGUGCACAUCUUGACGGUACCUAAUCAGAAAGCCCCGGCUAACUACGUG
RNAcentral lists this ribosomal RNA (497 nucleotides) under uncultured bacterium. RNAcentral describes it as "partial 16S ribosomal RNA". It matches the Rfam family "Bacterial small subunit ribosomal RNA", at positions 28 to 507 of the family's 1533-position model. The record is from RNAcentral.